GGCCGCAGUAUAUUAACUGUGCAAAGGUAGCAUAAUCAUUAGUCUUUUAAUUGAAGGCUGGUAUGAAUGGUUGGACAAAAUAUUAACUGUUUCAUAAAAAUUUAUAAUAAAAUUUUAUUUUUUAGUUAAAAAGCUAAAAUUUAUUUAAAAGACGAGAAGACCCUAUAAAUCUUUAUAUUUAUAUUAUAAUAAUUUUUUAGAAAAUUUUUAUUAUUAUAAUUUAUAGUAUUUUAUUGGGGUGAUAUUAAAAUUUAAUAAACUUUUAAUUUUUUUUUUUCAUUAAUUUAUGAUUAGUUGAUCCGUUAUUAACGAUUAAAAAAAUAAGUUACUUUAGGGAUAACAGCGUAAUUUUUUUGGAGAGUUCAUAUUAAUAAAAAAGAUUGCGACCUCGAUGUUGGAUU
Molecule: ribosomal RNA, 401 nt
Filed under: Phryno katoi
Lineage: Eukaryota; Metazoa; Arthropoda; Insecta; Diptera; Tachinidae
Description: partial 16S rRNA
Source: RNAcentral